This 178-nucleotide small RNA is filed under the name Sphenodon punctatus (tuatara). Its description in RNAcentral is "TUC338 (ENSSPUG00000011164.1)". The record is from RNAcentral. Lineage: Eukaryota; Metazoa; Chordata; Lepidosauria; Sphenodontia; Sphenodontidae.
AUGAUUAGCAGUGGAAACUGAAGCCCUCUUUUUGUCCACUGAACAGGUACAAGCAUGGGCAGAGCAGUGCAAGCUUCUUCACACUGGCUCAUCAAUGUGCUGCAAACUCUGACCUGAAGGGGCACCUCUAGAGUAAAAGGGUAGUUCAUUCUCCAUGCUCAUUCAAUACUUGCAAUGG